GCUACAAGUUCAAGAUGAAGGUGUCAGCAGGGUUGGUUUCUUCUGAGGCCUCAAUCUUUGACUUACAGAUGGCUGUCUUCUCCCUGUGCCUUCACAUCGUCUUCCUCCUGCAGCCUGUUGGUUUGCACCCUUACGAGCUUCCUGGGUGAAAUCUGCAUCUGACUCCCACAUACAGAGAACAAGGAGAGACCAAAGAAAAAGGCAGACUGCUCCAGAUUGGGCCAUGGCCAUUGAUAUAUCCACAGACGCACCUGGGAGACUCAGAAACCCUUUCUGUCAAAUGAGUUCCUCUGCUGUAGGCACUGUUCUUCUUCCCAGAGAACCUGGGUCCCAAAAUGGGACAAAACUACUCCAGAAGACUUGAGACAGACCUGGAAUGUAGACUCAGUGAUAGGAGAGUUCAGCUAAAGAUGCCUGCACCCCAUCUGACCUGCGGACACAUGGGUGAUCAAACAAAACCGAGAUGCCA
This is a long non-coding RNA of Talpa occidentalis (Iberian mole), 469 nucleotides long. RefSeq lists it as uncharacterized. The record is from RefSeq and is a predicted model, not a curated record. NCBI's taxonomy places the organism in Eukaryota, Metazoa, Chordata, Mammalia, Eulipotyphla, Talpidae. The transcript has 5 exons.